RNAcentral lists this unclassified non-coding RNA (10140 nucleotides) under Ooceraea biroi (clonal raider ant). RNAcentral describes it as "lachesin, transcript variant X1". Lineage: Eukaryota; Metazoa; Arthropoda; Insecta; Hymenoptera; Formicidae. The record is from RNAcentral.
CCGGCGUUCCUCAGUCUGUGCGGUUGCGUCUGAUACUCGUGUUCGGUACGCUAGAUCACGUGCGUCCUCAACAAAGGGGCGAGAGGGAAUAAGGGACAAGCGAUGUCGACAUUACCGUUCCUCGAGCGUGUCACUGCGGCGGCAACAUCGAAUUGUUGCCCUCGGAAUGUGUGAAAGUCCUCCAGGAUUAUCGCUGCAGCUGGAUCCAUGAUUGCGGUGCAAAAUGGUGGAUCGGCAAAAGGCGCUUCUAAUAGUGUUAUUGGCGCUCUUAAUCUAUCCAAACGAUAUCUUCGGUGGCGCGUUCCAGCCCGAAUUCUCCGGCCCUAUCGCCAAUCUAACUAUAACUCUCGGGAGGGACGCCACUUUCACGUGUCACGUGAAACAUUUAGGAGGCUACAGAGUCGGCUGGGUGAAGGCAGACACGAAGGCGAUCCAGGCGAUACACGACCACGUGAUCACGCACAACCCGAGGGUGGCUGUGACUCACAGCGACCACACGAUGUGGAACCUUCACAUCAAAGGUGUCCAGAUAGAGGACGCCGGUCUCUACAUGUGCCAGAUCAACACGGAUCCCAUGAAGAGUCAGACAGGUUUGCUGUCAAUUGUUGUGCCACCUGAUUUCAUCUCUGAAGCUACAUCAAGCGACGUAAUGGUGGGCGAAGGUGGUCAGGUGAAGUUAACGUGCCGGGCGAGAGGCAUACCACCGCCGCGCAUAACGUGGCGCCGAGAAGACGGCAAGGACAUUAUAAUUCGGGAGCCAUUUGCAGGAAGCGCCCCGAACCAGAAGUUGCAGGUUUCAAUCGUGAAUGAGUUCUUUGGCGAAGAGCUGAAACUGAUGAAGAUCUCGAGGAACGAGAUGGGAGUUUAUCUGUGCAUCGCCUCCAACGCGAUUCCGCCCACGAUCAGCAAACGGAUUUUUCUCAGCGUUCAUUUUCCGCCUGUGAUUCAAGUACCAAAUCAGCUGCUCAGUGCGCCCUUGGGGACCGACGUGAUUCUGGAAUGUUUCGUUGAAGCAUUCCCGAAGUCGAUUAACUAUUGGGUCAAGGACAAGGGUUCGAUGCUAAUAUCUAGCUUCAAACACGAUGUCAAGGUGAUAGAGAAGUCGCAAUUCGAGAUCCAAAUGGUCCUCAUCAUCCGGUACUUGCAGAAAUCCGACAUGGGAACGUACCGAUGCGCGGCCAAAAAUUCCCUCGGCGAGGUCGAGAGCAGUAUUCGAUUAUACGAGAUCGUCAGCCCCGGGAGGAUAGUCACGAAGGCGAUGCCGCCGUUCUAUGAGGACGUGACCGUGACGGCGCAGGACACGGCGGAGAUGGACAAGACGAAGAACGAGCUGCUGAUGGUGGACGAAACGGUGCGCGGCCACGUCUUGGGUUAUCCGGUGCUCGUCACGCCACCUUCGACAAUUCGCGUCGCCAAGAAACGACCCGCGACCAAGACGAGCUCGGGCGCAGAUCCACGAGGGUCCGCCGUCGUUCUGUCGUCAGUAGUGUCACUGAUGAUGAUCGUAUGCCGAAGGUGGUGGCCGUGCUGGUGGUGAGAAACGAAACGGGGAAUCCCAAAGGAUCGUGGAAGGACUGCUGUUAGCUCUCGCGAUCGUCAUGGCCCGAUCUCGGCGACAUCGCGUAACUCGCCUUCGAAGAAGAUCGUUAUACGUGUGACCAACAAUACCUAAUCAAUGGAUCGGGAGAUCGCAGAAGGGAUGAACCAAGUUGGGACCGAAGACGGAGACGCGCAUCGCGCCAGGCGUAUCUUGAUCGUUUUUGCUUGGAUCAAGAAAUCAAUCGGUGAGUGCUGAAUUAAUUAAAGCGAGAUAUCGUAUUCGCGGUAGAAUUUGGGUCGAUCCUAUUUUCAAUGUUAUAAAUAGUGUCCUAAAUUUUCUUCUUUUCUAUGCAAAGGUAGACUCGAAUAAUCUCAUGAUUACCUUAUAACGAGCAGAAUAUUUUAGCAGCUAUUUAAGAGAUUUUCUAAGCUUUAAUACGUCGCGAUAUAAAUCACUUUCAUGUAAAACUGAUUGCUUUCAUAUUUUAAUACGUAGAGAAGAAUGUUGCAUACGUUUGAAUCAAAUGGUGAAUGCUUGAUUGAUUAAGAUACGCUUAGCGGAUGAACGACGUCUAUGAUACUUAACGCCAUAAUAAAAGAAAAAGAUAGGCGAUAGGCGUAAAACGUAGGAAAGGAGACAACGAAAUGGUAGAAGCCAGAAAGCAGAUAGACACAAAAAGGACGACGCGAGCAGAGAGAGAGAGAGAGAGAGAGAGACAUAUCUCGACGUUAAAAGUCCUCGAUAAUAUUCGCGCGGAUCGAAGGACCAGGUACGUAACUCCUCAGUUUCGGCGGCAAUAAAUUUGCGUGAUGUGUAUAUAUGUACGUAUAUCAUAUAUUGCCACGCUCGCACGUGUAUAUGUGUGCAUACUGACACGUCAGGGUAACUAACUAACACGUUCGUGCCACCCUUCCCCAUCCUACCCCUCCGUUACGCUCUCGAAUCGCGUGCGAGCGGCGUAGCGUUCCGUAGAUAGAUCCUCACGAUUACGCCGGUGUAAUAGAAUAUGUAUCGCGACUUAAAUGAGUAUAUCGACAGCUUUAAACGAGUUCGAGCUGGAAGUAGCAAGGCGUCGCGCCGUGUCCGUCGUAGACGGAUCCGCCCGAUAUCUCGGACCAAUCGAUUACGGACGAGUGGUCCGAAGUUGUUCGCCACAAAAUGCCCUGAUCACGGACGCGCGAUCGCGUACCUGUCCCUCUCCCGCUAACUUUCUUAUCUUCUCAUCGACGGAUCUUUUAUGGCGCUCUCGACAGCGGUUCUCGACAGUAAAACUCGCCAGUCAACAUGGAAUUGAGCGCUACUUUCGCGAAACGUUUAUUUCAGAGCUUUACUUUUACCGAAUUGCGGCCCUCGAUAUCAAAACGCUCCGAACGAUAGCAGUCCAGUGAAGAGUCAUAUUCGAUGACUGUUUGCAGUUUUACUCGCGAGAACGGCCCUCGAUGUUAGAAUUUACCGAUGAAAAUAAAAUUCAGCGCGACAUUUUCAACGCGGAUAUUUACUUGCGAACUUUAUCCUUUAACAGCAACUGUCGAUCAUAUGGCUCCAGAUUUAAUCUAAACUUAACUUGAAAGUGACGCUGAAUAAGCAUCCACUUGAGAACUGAAAGUUGUUCUGUAAAAAAGCAAAAGCUACAAAGUAAUAAAAUUCUGGAGAGUACACUUUGCAAUGUUCAUUCAAUGUAUCGUUAGAAAUACGUUCAAGAUAUUUUUUUUAUAUUGAUUGAAUAACUUAAAUUAGCGUUAAUAAAAUAUAAAAGUCUGUAAUUUUUCGACAUUAAUCGACUUAAUAAUAAUCACUUAAUAAUAAGACAAUAUAAAACUGAUCUUUCAUGUUCUAAUGUAUUAUAUAUUACAUAUAUUACAGUUAAAAUUGAUAAACGAUAUCACGAGUAUUGCAAAGUGACAUUCGUAGAUCGAUUAUACUUUUAUUAACUUCAUGCUUAUAUUAUUAAUGAAAUGAAACUUUUUUUAUAAUAAUAAUACCAAAAUAAAAUUUUUGAUGAUGAAAUAAACUAACAAAAUUAUAGUAAAAUCACUCGAUAUAUAUUAUAUAAAAAGUAUGUACGACAAUAAUGAUGUUGUCCGAACAUUGCGCAUGAACUACAAAUUUUAAUCAUUUAGGAGCAAUUCAAUCAAAACACGGCAAGAAUCAAUACAAAAUUUCUUCGAUCGCGCGUCCUAUGGUCAGGUACUGUAUAUCCGAUCACUCGUUUCCGAUGUGAGUGACUAAUAAUCGUUCAUUAGGCCAACGCGGACAAACUUUUCUGCCGCGCUUCGAACAAAUGUGCAAAACACAUGUACGAUGGAAAGAGUGCAAGAAAGAAACCAAGCAUGAAAGAGAGAAAGAGAGACAAUGUGCAUGCGUGAGAGUGAUACUAAUUAUAUUUUUAUAUUUCCAGCGUAGCGUAUUUACGUUCCGUAUCGAUAGAUCCUUUAAUGAUGGUCAGAGCUCUAGUCGGCCAUUCCAUUUGCUAUCAUGACAUUCGGUUCUCGCAAUGAUUUCUCUCUCUCUAAUUGAUUGAUGUGACUACAGCAUAGAUCUGGACGAGUCAAAAUUGGUCGUGUCUACUCCUGCUUUUCCAUUGUUGAACGCGUCAUCGCAAAGUGGAUCCAGAACGAUCGUGGAUAAUAAAAUCGAUCGCAUCGGCUGCCGCCACGCACCGCUCGCCACGACAGUUGUAUUCACUUGCCAAAAUAAAUCGGUCAUUCCCGCGGGCGCGCUCGAUUUUGGGAGUUUUGUGGCGACUGAAAUUGUGUCUCGUUACGCUUCGCGGUUCGUUUUCGAAACUCACCGACAGGUCUCUCGCAGGAGCGCCGUACGUGCCCAGUCUCCGAUAAAAUUUAUUUAUACAUUCGUGUGUUUCUCGAGCGAUUUGUCCUUCACAAUCGGCCACACAUUAAUUACUAAUUACUCUUAAAUUAUCGAAAUUGUUCCUCGAGUGGAACACGACGGGAAAAUUAAUUCUUUCAUUGUCCAUUGUGUUCCGAAUUACAAUCAUUGAAUCUUAAUUUAAUCCGUCAUUAUUCGAGAUCUUCAGACAGUUCUCGAGCUCGCUUGUUUUCAUGUAAGAACGCGACAAAUAAGUUAUUUUCGCGAACUCGAUCGACUCGAAACAAUGGAGCUAGCCGAUCCGCUGGCUGUCCGCGACAUUGACUCGAGUUUUUAGACACGUAUAGAUCAAGAGCCUAACGUCCGAAGCCUUGUUGUCACCGUGUUAGUCGAAUUAUCUGAGGGAUUCAAAGGAAAGCGAGGUCUCGGGAACAUUAUUAGAGCUUUGUCAGCGCUCGCGUAAAGAUCGAUCUCGAACCAAUUCGAGUCUCGGCCAACUCUCAACUCGCUUCGCUGUUGAGCCGCUCUCUCAUUUCGACGUCCGAAGCGUCUGAACGCUCGUCAGGCGCGCGUCAUCGAUUCGCCGCUGCACACAAACAUAUUCUGUGUCUUUGACGAACUGCCACCUCGUGUAUCGGUGCACGCGUGAAAGCUCGCCGAAACCGACGCGAUCAAGAAAUCCGCCGCGUCAUUCCGGCGCCGCAAGUGUUGAAGAUCUCCGAUCUGCGCCUAGUUCGACUUGGUGCACGAAUUGCAGUGAAAUAAACUGACCGUUGAGUACACAAGAGUUCUCUCUCAACCUGUAACUCCCUCUCCCUCCAUACGCUCGGAAUCAUCAGGGCUCCGAGAGCACAGUCUCGCGCUCAACGCUGGGCGGUUCCGGUAUCACAAAACACAUUGCAUUUUGAGAAUGAAAAUUAUAACAUAAUUUCUAAAUAUUAUGCAUAAUAUCGAAAUAGAGAUAAUGUUAUAGAAAAUAUGUUUCAAUGUUGACGUGAUUGACAAGGCUUCGCUGACAUCGUUUCGUAUAAACUAAUCUUGUUUACCCAAAUCGUUGCGCGUUUUAUUCAUUUUAUUUAUUUCGCAGUUUAUAUUUUAUUAUUGAUAAUUUUCCGUCACAAGAACUGGAAAACCUUGCAAAUAACAAGAAUCUCUUAUUGGAUGCAUCGUGUAAUGAAAACGAAUGAUAUUUCAGAAAGACGAUUACAAUUUUUUCAUCGUUAUCCCCAAUCGUGCAUUCCUCUGAAAUAUCUCGUCUGAUAAAAUUGUCGCUCGCAACGUUUUUCCGAGGAGUCCUUCAAUUAACCGAUGGCCUGUCGUGCGUUCGAUAUUAAAUAUGCGACGUACCUCACAUUCGUCAUCGCACAACCACCUCGAAAUGGUCAGUCGGCAGCAAAAAAAAGGCCGGUUCGCCUCGCGGAACUCAAGAGUCCUCAUGAGAGCCAAUGAAUGGUCGCUCUCUCCACGACCGAAAAAAAAAUCGCGGCGCUUCUCCCCCGGUCGGGGCAAAUCGCGCUCGUUUGCGACACGCCGCCCGUACCCUGCGAGUACGAGGGUGCUUUCGCUCCCUCUUUAUUUCGUCGGCGGGAAUUCUCGUUCCGGAACGAUUAUCGUCCUUCUCCGGCGACGAUGGCGGGACAACGACAGAGGGGCGGGUCGGCUCCUCUCUCUUUCUCGGUCACCGUGAGAAAUUAUAAGGGCGAAUCCGCCUUUAAGGACUACGAAGAAGAUCUUAGUUCCUCCAUAAAUAAACACAACUGCCCGCGCAGCUGGCGCGGACGUAAUUCAUCGUGAAUUAAUUUAAGGGCCACCGCCAUCUCCCGCGGCCCUCGCCGCCCUCAUCCACCAUCUCGAAUCCUCCCCGUCCCCUCCCGCUCUUCUCAGCCCCGUCUCUCAUCCCCUCGCCACCGGCCGCUUUCAUUAGAAGGCCCGCCGUGCCGAGGCCGCGCCAUUUGGCGGCUCUCCGCUUUAUGCUGAUUUUAUUUCCCUUCUUUUGCGGGUAUCUCGGGUGGAGUAAUUGUGCGCGGUAUUAUCAUUCACCGCGGCAUCGUGUUGUUCGGCCGCGUGAGAUAUCGGUCCUUCGAAUCGGUCGAAGGCAAAGCGAAGAGGAUAUCACACGGUUCGCCGCAGCUUCCUGCCUCUUCUCAUCCUCGUCACCUACAUUCUCAUCGUCGUCGUCAUCAUCGUCGUCGUCGUUGUCGUCUUUGUUCGUCGUGAUGCCCAACGGCGUCAACGACUCCUUCCUACGACUUCCAAACGGUCUUGCCGUUCCGUUUGAACUACGGCGAGAAGUCAUACCUGUAAAGUUGCAGCUGCAGCAGCACCUUCUCACACCGGUCCUCAGCCGUCUUUCUCCGUAUGGUUGCUCGUAGAUUUCCGUCUCCCACCCACGCUUCCACCCUCGGCCGCUUGCUUAAAGCGUCGGUUACGCUUAUUAAAAUCCCGUGAAGUACGACGUGUAAGCUCGUCGAGAGAGAGAAAGGGAGAGAGAGCGGGGAGAGAGAGGGAGAGAGAGAAAGAGAUCGAGGGUGAGAGGAAGUGGUGUGUGUACAGGAGACGCGGUUAGUUUAUCGCACGCUCGGUUCGUUUCGUCAUUUCGACGCCUGAUGAAGGAUACAGUUCCAAAAGGCUCAACAUGUUGCAACGAGAACGAUCAAUGAAAUUUCACGACUCAUCGCGAUAUAUCAGUGUUCCAUACGUCCUACGUUAAUAUAUUAAUAUAUGUUUUCGUGUCGCUGUGGAUCUAUGGCAGUGCUCUCGUUAUAUUGGAUUGCAACAUACAUUCGUCCUGUGGUUUUAGUGUUUUUAAUAACGAAUAUAUGUUACAACCCACAUUAUUAAAAAUACUAAAUCAAUAGGACGAAUAUAUAUUAUAUAAUCCAAUAGGAUAACUAUAAUCGUCUUGUGUGAAGAUAAGUAUAAAAUUCCAAAUUUAUUAAGACAUUAAAGUUAUAUUUAUUCCGAGAUCUGGAAUACUAUAAUUUAUAGACUUUUGAACUUAUCAGUAUAUUUUUAUAUUUUAUUACUUUUUCACGUUGAUUGCAAAGUCUAGUAAUGGUUUGUCUUGUGUUUAACGCUUGAUAUAAGUUGACUCUUUAACUGCGAUUUUUUUAUAAUACGAUCGAACAGCUUUGAGAAGUUUGUUUUAUGAGGUUUAAGUGGGUCGAUUGAACCGAUGUAAAGUUUUGAGUCUUGGAGGAGGGGAAUUAGGCAACUUCCUUUUAUCUGCGUGAAUUAUCGCCUCAUUGGAUCGUCCCUUCUUAGCAUUCACUUUGUCUUUGUGCAAACAAUGUUGCAUUUUUAUCUUUUGAGCUUCAUAAUAUUCUGUCGAUAUAUAUUUUCUGCAGAUCCUUAUUUUUCUUGACAUUGUUUAUUUGAUACUUUAUUUGAUUAUUUUCAUAAAUAUUUUUUGCUGCAGAUGUCGAUAUAUUCUAUAUGAUUCCUGAACUAUCUUCAUUUUUUGGUGCCGCUGUUGCCACGCUUAUCUUUUUCAUGGUCCUUCUUUUAUUUACUUUAGUUUCGUAGCGUGGCUUGUUCUGGCCGUUGGUUUUUUUACGUUUAUUGAGUCAUAAAUAACAUCAUAUCUUUUUUAUCGAAUGAGAAAGCAUUGUUGCAAAAAAGUACAACAAUUCAAAUAUACAUUUUAGUAUUUUUACGAUUUUCUUGCAAUAAUUUUCACAAUCUGUUAAUUUCAAUAUCGAAUUUGUAUAGAAAGCAAUCGAAGCAAAACUAUUAUAAUAUUAUAAUUGUUAAAUAUUAUUUAUAAAUAUGUAUUUAUCAUUUCUGUUUAACAUUAUAUUUUUAUUAAUUAUAUUUUACAAAUAAGAAUAAUAUAAAUCAUACACUAUAUUAUAAUAUAUAUAUUGCAAUUUUACUUUUAAACAAAGGGAAAAUUUAAUUCUUCGCUUAUCCAUGGAUAUAAAUGUUUACGAAAAAUUAAAGAAAAAAGUACAAUUAAGAUAACUGGCUUAUAUUUAAAAGUAUGAUAGAAUCUUCUUCUCAGCUUAUAUUAUUCACUUUUACGAGAGUGAACUGCGACAUUACGACAUGGACAUUCGCUCUUUCGAUCCCUAAGCCGUUACGGAACAAUCGGAGUUCCGCCGCACUUAUUUUCCGACUUUUCCUUUAAGUUCGGUGACGGACAGUAUCGAGAUACAGUUUCCGAAAAACAAAAUGUAUUAUGGAUGUUUCCCGGAAAAAAACAUUCUCGCGUGAGAGAGCUGCCGAUGAAUUUUCUACGUAGUGGGAUACGUGGCCGGAAGCAACCCUCGAAAAUCCCUAAGUCGCCCGUCGUGGAAGUUAUCACUUGACAGUUAUAUGGCAGCUGUACGUCACUGUUACUCGGCGAGUCUUGCGGGCAGCUUCCCCCCUUUUGCUCUUCCAAACACUCCCUCUUUCCAGACUGCAAUAUCAGACAAUACGAGAAAAUGGAACUUUUUGAAUACAUGGAGAACUGUUAAUGGUAUGCAUGAUGCGAGAAGUGAUGAUGUCUCACCCAUUUUAAAAACUUUCCAACCCCACAUUCCUCACCCUCUCUACCGGCGCUGCUAAGCUUUAGCAUCGGUAUCGUAAGUACGUAUUUUAUCUGACAUCAGAAGAGCCGAGGUAUGAAACAUCUGUAUUUAUAUCUUUCAAAUAUAAAUGGAUAUAAUUUUAGAUCAAAACGCGACGUAAAUAUCUUUAAUCUUUAACUGGAUGCUUAACUUAGAUUAUAAAUCAAAUUAUACAAUCAUUAUACAAUCAUGCUUUAUUUACAUGCAUUCAUGAUCAUUCAUGUGCUGACGUAUUGCAUCGGAAUAUAUUAUAAAUGUUACACAUUUAUUUGUAAACUUGAAGUCCACAAAUGUCCAGAGGAUUAGUACUACGCUUUUUUUUUCUUUUCUAUUAAAGAAAUUUAACUAAAGUUCCUGUGAAGCAAGGACAGAGUUCGGUUUUUGAAUACGAUACGCAUAGAUACAGAUAUAGUCGCGCCGGCUCUUCUGAUAUUAACCGCACGAAGUAGCUUUCCUGUUGAGUUUCGACGUGGCAUGUCGUAUACUUUUUGCAUGGCGCAAUGAAAGUUGAACGCGAUUGGAAAGUGGAAGGCGUUCCUCAUUUUGAUUUAUGUGAUGAUCGAAGUAUCCCAGAACCAUUGGUACAGGUCCUACGGGAGUACCUCACGAGGCGGAAAUGUGCUUUAGAAACUUUCCACGAAACAUGUUUAUGCGCUUCUCGACGGGUGUACAAGACACUGAUUAACCGGAUUGCAUUGACCUCGCUCAUGAACGAGAUCGGUUUGACUUUGCGCAUGAGGAAAGAAGACCGUACUCAUCGUUGUUAAAUAGGCGACAAUUUCCCACGCCUGAACGAACUCAUGCGAGUGUUGUCUUAUGGACACUGCUCGUAUGAGCGCGUACUCGAUUGUUAACAGCGUAUAUUGAGCGCAAGGCUAUCACCCUGUAUAAAUAAUAUUCGAGAAGUCAUAGUUGGCGCUCGACAUGACUCUACGAUGGCAUCUUUCCUUUCCUGGAGUGCGCGAUGUAUAGUGUCCGCAUAAUUUUGUAUAGCUGUACGUACGCGCGCGAACUCGAUUGUUACGAAUGCAAGCGAAGAUUAAUUAAAGGCUAAAUGAAGAGUGUGAGAAAGGCGGAUUGUAUAAAUAUAAUCGUCUAAGAAGGUAGCGAAAAGAGUAAUACUGUAAAUAAUUGUGAACAUACAAUUGUAACCAAAUCAUUCACGGCGGAAUAAAAACGAAGCUUCGUGUCGCAAAUGAAGCUGCCAAUAAAAUAUUA